ACGGACGCUGGCGGCGUGCCUAAUCCAUGCAAGUUGAGCGCUGAAGGUUGGUACUUGUACCAACUGGAUGAGCAGCGAACGGGUGAGUAACGCGUGGGGAAUCUGCCUUUGAGCGGGGGACAACAUUUGGAAACGAAUGCUAAUACCGCAUAAAAACUUUAAACACAAGUUUUAAGUUUGAAAGAUGCAAUUGCAUCACUCAAAGAUGAUCCCGCGUUGUAUUAGCUAGUUGGUGAGGUAAAGGCUCACCAAGGCGAUGAUACAUAGCCGACCUGAGAGGGUGAUCGGCCACAUUGGGACUGAGACACGGCCCAAACUCCUACGGGAGGCAGCAGUAGGGAAUCUUCGGCAAUGGACGAAAGUCUGACCGAGCAACGCCGCGUGAGUGAAGAAGGUUUUCGGAUCGUAAAACUCUGUUGGUAGAGAAGAACGUUGGUGAGAGUGGAAAGCUCAUCAAGUGACGGUAACUACCCAGAAAGGGACGGCUAACUACGUG
RNAcentral lists this ribosomal RNA (496 nucleotides) under uncultured bacterium. RNAcentral's name for it is "partial 16S ribosomal RNA". It matches the Rfam family "Bacterial small subunit ribosomal RNA", at positions 29 to 507 of the family's 1533-position model. The record is from RNAcentral.